RNAcentral lists this unclassified non-coding RNA (240 nucleotides) under uncultured Tetracladium. Its description in RNAcentral is "sequence contains ITS2". Lineage: Eukaryota; Fungi; Ascomycota. The record is from RNAcentral.
AACGCACAUUGCGCCCCUUGGUAUUCCGAGGGGCAUGCCUAUUCGAGCGUCAUUAUCACCCCUCAAGCCUAGCUUGGUGUUGAGGCCUGCUGUCAAGGCAGCCUCUAAAAUCAGUGGCAGUGCUGUCAGGCUCUAAGCGUAGUAAAUCUAAUCGCUAUAGACACCUGGUGGACACUCGCCAGAACCCCCCAUUUUUUAAUGAUUGACCUCGGAUUAGGUAGGGAUACCCGCUGAACUUAA